Potamilus streckersoni is the source of this 85-nucleotide non-coding RNA. The record is from the annotation of a GenBank genome assembly. NCBI's taxonomy places the organism in Eukaryota, Metazoa, Mollusca, Bivalvia, Unionida, Unionidae.
GAUCUGGUGGCUUAUGUGGUUAGAGCGUCCGCCUCAGACGUGGGAGAUCGUAUGUUCGAAUUCCGGCCGAGUCAUACCCAAGACU